Ruditapes philippinarum (Manila clam) is the source of this 570-nucleotide long non-coding RNA. RefSeq lists it as uncharacterized. Lineage: Eukaryota; Metazoa; Mollusca; Bivalvia; Venerida; Veneridae. The transcript is spliced from 5 exons. The record is from RefSeq and is a predicted model, not a curated record.
UGCCAAAAGUUCUAAAAAUAGACCAGUAAUCCUGCAGAGCUCGACCGAGUUUAUUUCCUCAUUUCCUCGCAUAUCUUUGUAGAUAAAAGUAAAUAUAAAGUGUUGGAUUUAUCUUUGAAUAUAUAGAAACUACCGCGUUAAUUUCAUCAUGAACGCCGCAACACGUGUUUGUGUAGCAGUGAUUGUGCUUUGCCUGCUCGCACAAGCUGCCGACACUGAAGACCAGAGCGCCAGACCGAAAGACAACUUUGAUGAUAUGCACCAUUCUUCACAUCCAUCUUGGAGAGACCAGAUUAUGGUGUCUGCCGGAAGUGACGUCAGUACACAUUAUUUAUUGACUUUUGUCCUUACCGUUUUGGCAAUGGCACAUGUUGCCUUUCGCUAGUUACUGUUGUGGUUCACAAUUAAAAGGGCACAAUCCAGUCAACAGAUAGUCGUUUGAUGUAAAUUGUUUCGGGAUGAGUCGAUUUUCUUCAGGGAGCAUAAAACACUUUAUCACCAUAUAUUCUAACUUAGUUUGUAUCGUCUAAUAUGAAUAUUGUUAAAUAAAAUCAGUUUUAGAAAAGAAAA